Non-coding RNA from Microcebus murinus (gray mouse lemur), 2448 nucleotides. NCBI's taxonomy places the organism in Eukaryota, Metazoa, Chordata, Mammalia, Primates, Cheirogaleidae. The record is from RefSeq and is a predicted model, not a curated record.
ACUAUCGUCACCACCCAUACAUGGUUACCAUUUUUUGUGUGUGGUGAAGUGACUUAAAAUAUGCUCUCUUACCAAAUUCCAAGUAAACAACACAGGGUUAUAAACUGUAGUCACUAUAUUGUGCAUUACUUCCUCAGAACUUCCUCAUUUUAUAACUGUAAGUUUGUAACUUUGGACCACAUAUCUCCAUGUAUGUCACCCUCCAGUCUCCCGAAACCACUGUUCUACUCUCUGCUUCUAUGAGUUUGACGUUUUUAGAUUACACAAAUAAGUGAGAUCACACAGUUUUUGCCCUUCUGUGCCUGGCUUAUUACACUUAGCAUAAUGUCCUCCAGCUUUGUCCAUGCUGUCACAGUUGGCAGGAUUCCUUUCUUUUUGUGCUGAAUAAUAUUCCAUUGUGUACAUACAUUACAUUUUCUUUAUCCACUUAUCCUUCCAUGGGCACAUAGGUGCUUUCCAUAUCUCGGCUAUUGUAAACAAUACUGCAGUGAACAAUGAAGUGCAGGUGUCUUUUUUACAUAGCUAGAGAUACUUCGUUUCCUUUGGAUCCACACCCAGAAGUAGGAUUGCUGGAUCAAAUGGCCUAAAAGUCUAGGUUGGACCCUGGCGGAUAUGUCCCUCAUGGGGAUGGAUCUAUCGUGGCUGCUUUCUUCCCCUCGCUGCUACCGUCCUGCCCUCCCCUAAGCCACUAGUCCAGACCUGCUGUCACAGCAGCCGUCUAACGCUGGUCUCCUUUCCUACCCUCCAUUCCAUUCUCAACACGGACACCAGCGACCACUGCUGCACGGAAGUCAGAUCACAGCAUCCCUCUGUCCAACAUUCUCCAGGGGCUUUGCAUUUCAAUCAGUUAAUUAUCUUUUUAAAAUAAGUUCGAGUUGAGAUAUUAUCCACCACCAAGUCUACCCUGAGCCAGGGGCAACCAUCUUUCCAUUUUGCUAUGAUCUCAAUGUUUGUGUCACCUGAAAAUUCACAUAUUGAAACCCUGGUGAAUGAGAUCAGUACCCUUACAGAAGAAACGCCAGAGAGCUGCCUUGCCCUUUCUGCCAUGUGAGGACACAGAAGAUCGCCAUCUAUGAAUAAGGAAAAGGACCUCACCAGACACCACAGAGUUCAUGGAGAUCUGGGAUCUCUUUCUCACCAUGGACUAGAAAGCAUUUAAGCCUGGUAACUGCAAAGGACCUUACAUGUGACAUUGAUCUCUCAUCUCCUGAAUUAUGGAAGUGAAAGAAGUCGCCAGACUGCAACUUUGGGUAAUAAAGCCAGGAAGGAAAGGUGAAGAAAAUAUUUAUUUCAGCACUUAAAACAAUAUGAGGUCUGUUCUAGGCCCUUCGGUUCCCUAAACAUCAUCUAGGUGCUCAUAAACAAAGUUACUUAUAUCCUGUUGGAUGAGACAUUUGACUAACUGAGGGGAAAAAAACCCUAAGUCAUAUUCAUUUAUACAUUUUUAUUAGGAGAAAUUUCCAGUGUGUAAAAAAGAAAAGAGUAGUGUGCUAACUGCCAGUGCACCCAGGUUAAACAACUGAUAACUCACAACCAGUCUUGGUCAAUUUAUGAUACCAAUUGUGGCACCAAUUGUGGUACUUUUAUCCCUAUCCAGCAUCAACUUUUCAUAACUUUGCAUUAUAAAAAUAUGUAAAAAUGCACAUAAGUAAUAUGCACAAUUUGAUGAAUAGUGACACACGUAUAAACCUAUAAAACCAUCACCACAAUAAAGAUAACGCAGAUUUCUUUCUUUAACUCCCCAGUGUUUUCUCCUGCUCCACUGUGUUUCCACCUUCUGUAUCCAUCCCUCCCAACUCCUUUUCUGAAACUACCAUUGCUCUGCUUUUUUGUAACUAUAGAUUAUUUUGUAUUUUAUAUAAAUGAAAAUAUAUAGUAUAUGUCCCCGUUUGUGAUCUGCCUUUCUUGGAUUUAGUAUAGUUAUAGUAUUUUGAAACACAUGCUUAAGUUUUGCAUGUAUCAGUAAUUUGUUGCUUUUUAUUGUACUAAGUUUCCUUAUCCAGUCACCUGUUAUUAGACCUUUAACUUGGUGAAAAUGUUCGACUCUGAAAAAUAGAGAUUCUGAAUGUUAAUGUACUAAUUUUCCUCUGGACAUGUAUUUUUAUUUCUCUUGGAUUUCCCCUAGGAGUGGAAUUUCUAGAUCAUACAAAUUAUUAUUUUAGUGGGUGUGUUUUUAUCCUUUUAAACAAGUCACCAAGCUCUCUUCAACAGUGGUUCUGCCAUUUUACAAUUCCACCAAGAAUGUGGAUGAGUUCGAGUUGUUCCAUAUUCUUAGCAACACUUGAUAUGUCCAAAUUUUUCAAUUCAAGCCAUUUUAGUGGGAAUGUGGUAGAAUAUAUUGAGUUUCAUUUUAUUCACUCUAUAAUGAAUAAUGUUUGAACAUAUAUUAAUAUGCCUCAUUGCCAUCCAUAUAUUUCUUUUAGUGAAAUGUUUGUUCAAAUAAGUAGU